This 431-nucleotide ribosomal RNA is filed under the name uncultured bacterium. RNAcentral's name for it is "bacterial SSU rRNA". It matches the Rfam family "Bacterial small subunit ribosomal RNA", at positions 338 to 766 of the family's 1533-position model. The record is from RNAcentral.
CCUACGGGAGGCUGCAGUAGGGAAUAUUGGGCAAUGGGCGAGAGCCUGACCCAGCCAUGCCGCGUGCAGGAAGAAGGCUUUCUGAGUCGUAAACUGCUUUUGACAGGGAAGAAUAAGCAUUACGUGUAAUGCGAUGACGGUACCUGCAGAAUAAGCACCGGCUAACUCCGUGCCAGCAGCCGCGGUAAUACGGAGGGUGCGAGCGUUGUCCGGAUUUAUUGGGUUUAAAGGGUGCGUAGGCGGCCGUUUAAGUCUGGGGUGAAAGCCCGCUGCUCAACAGCGGAACUGCCCUGGAUACUGGAUGGCUUGAGUACAGACGAGGUUGGCGGAAUGGACUGAGUAGCGGUGAAAUGCAUAGAUACAGUCCAGAACCCCGAUUGCGAAGGCAGCUGACUAGGCUGUUACUGACGCUGAGGCACGAAAGCGUGGGG